GCUCGUAGUCGGAUUUCGGGGCGGGCCGAGCGGUCUGCCGAUGGGUAUGCACUGUUCGGCGCGUCCUUCUUUCCGGAGACCGCGCCUACUCUUAGCUGAGCGGGCGCGGGAGACGGAUCGUUUACUUUGAAAAAAUCAGAGUGUUUCAAGCAGGCAGCUCGCUCUUGCAUGGAUUAGCAUGGGAUAAUGAAAUAGGACUCUGGUGCUAUUUUGUUGGUUUCGAACACCGGAGUAAUGAUUAACAGGGACAGUCAGGGGCACUCGUAUUCCGUCGAGAGAGGUGAAAUUCUCAGACCAAUGGAAGACGAACCACUGCGAAAGCAUUUGCCAGGGAUGUUUUCACUGAUCAAGAACGAAAGUUAGGGGAUCGAAGACGAUCAGAUACCGUCGUAGUCUUAACCAUAAACCAUGCCGACUAGGGAUUGGAGGGUGUUCUAUUUGACCUCUUCAGCACCUUACGGGAAACUAAAGUCUUUGGGUUCCGGGGGGAGUAUGGUCGCAAGGCUGAAACUUAAAGGAAUUGACGGAAGGGCACCACCAGGAGUGGAGCCUGCGGCUUAAUUUGACUCAACACGGGGAAACUUACCAGGUCCAGACAUUGUUAGGAUUGACAGAUUGAGAGCUCUUUCUUGAUUCGAUGGGUGGUGGUGCAUGGCCGUUCUUAGUUGGUGGAGUGAUUUGUCUGGUUAAUUCCGUUAACGAACGAGACCUUAACCUGCUAAAUAGUGGCGCGAACUUUUUGUUGGCGGCUCACUUCUUAGAGGGACAACUUGUUUGCAACAAGUGGAAGUUUGAGGCAAUAACAGGUCUGUGAUGCCCUUAGAUGUUC
The sequence is a ribosomal RNA, 829 nucleotides long. It matches the Rfam family "Eukaryotic small subunit ribosomal RNA", at positions 626 to 1482 of the family's 1831-position model.